GAGUUUGAUCAUGGCUCAGGACGAACGCUGGCGGCGUGCUUAACACAUGCAAGUCGAACGGUGAACCAGGGCUUGCCCUGGGAAUCAGUGGCGAACGGGUGAGUAACACGUGAGCAACCUGCCCCUGGCUCUGGGAUAACUCCGGGAAACCGGAGCUAAUACCGGAUACGAGACCGAUUGGCAUCAUUACGGUCUGGAAAGUUUUUCGGCCAGGGAUGGGCUCGCGGCCUAUCAGCUUGUUGGUGGGGUAACGGCCCACCAAGGCGACGACGGGUAGCCGGCCUGAGAGGGCGACCGGCCACACUGGGACUGAGACACGGCCCAGACUCCUACGGGAGGCAGCAGUGGGGAAUAUUGCGCAAUGGGCGAAAGCCUGACGCAGCGACGCCGCGUGAGGGAUGAAGGCCUUCGGGUUGUAAACCUCUUUCAGCAGGGAAGAAGCGAAAGUGACGGUACCUGCAGAAGAAGCACCGGCUAACUACGUGCCAGCAGCCGCGGUAAUACGUAGGGUGCAAGCGUUGUCCGGAAUUAUUGGGCGUAAAGAGCUCGUAGGCGGUCUGUCACGUCGGAUGUGAAAAUCCAGGGCUUAACCCUGGACCUGCAUUCGAUACGGGCAGACUAGAGUUCGGUAGGGGAGACUGGAAUUCCUGGUGUAGCGGUGAAAUGCGCAGAUAUCAGGAGGAACACCGGUGGCGAAG
RNAcentral lists this ribosomal RNA (698 nucleotides) under uncultured bacterium. RNAcentral's name for it is "bacterial SSU rRNA". It matches the Rfam family "Bacterial small subunit ribosomal RNA", at positions 9 to 720 of the family's 1533-position model. The record is from RNAcentral.